GAUGAACGCUGGCGGCGUGCCUAAUACAUGCAAGUCGAGCGAACAGACGAGGAGCUUGCUCCUCUGACGUUAGCGGCGGACGGGUGAGUAACACGUGGAUAACCUACCUAUAAGACUGGGAUAACUUCGGGAAACCGGAGCUAAUACCGGAUAAUAUAUUGAACCGCAUGGUUCAAUAGUGAAAGACGGUUUUGCUGUCACUUAUAGAUGGAUCCGCGCCGCAUUAGCUAGUUGGUAAGGUAACGGCUUACCAAGGCAACGAUGCGUAGCCGACCUGAGAGGGUGAUAGGCCACACUGGAACUGAGACACGGUCCAGACUCCUACGGGAGGCAGCAGUAGGGAAUCUUCCGCAAUGGGCGAAAGCAUGACGGAGCAACGCCGCGUGAGUGAUGAAGGUCUUCGGAUCGUAAAACUCUGUUAUUAGGGAAGAACAAAUGUGUAAGUAACUAUGCACGUCUUGGCGGUACCUAAUCAGAAAGCCACGGCUAACUACGUG
Molecule: ribosomal RNA, 497 nt
Filed under: uncultured bacterium
Lineage: Bacteria
Description: partial 16S ribosomal RNA
Rfam family: Bacterial small subunit ribosomal RNA
Source: RNAcentral